CUGAGGCAUGGCUGACACGCGACGGAAUGUGUCACCCGUACAGUUCGUUGUUUUUUUAAGCAGCUUAGUGAAUUUUGCCGGACAAGUGCUGGUGCCUGUGUGACCCACUUCCCUCUCCGUGCAUAGUGUCCCGAUACGGUCAUGUCCGUCGACUUAGAAGCCACCUUGGGGCUCUCCUUGCUCCUUUUCCCUGGUGCUGAAACUCCUAUUAGGAUUUCUUUUUCUUUUUUUAAAUAUUUUUUUGUUGUCCUUUAUUUUAUUUAUUCAUAUGUGCUGCUGAGGCUCGAACCCAGGGCCUCACACAUGCUAGGCAAGCGCUCCACCACUGAGCCCCAGCCCCAGCCCUCAGAGUUCCUUCGAGUCACUCUGUUGGCCUGGUGUCUGUGUCAUACAGGUGCAGUCACACUUCAUAGUUUUGAGAUUGUCCCUGCUGUUGCUGGCAUUGGCCACUCCCUUCUUUCUUGUGCAGAACCAUUCCUUUAUAUGAGGUGUCGGUGUGCUCAGUGGUCUCCUCUUGGUGGCCCCUUCGAUUUUUCUGGUUAGCUUUUGGGAUAGAUGGCUACCAGCAGCUUUUACAAGUUUUAUUCUGAUUUGUUCUCAUUUUUCUUGAGCAAAUGCUGAGAUGUGGACUCACUGAGUCGUAGGGUGGUUGUGGUGGUGGUUUCACUUUGCGAAAGCAUCAGGCCACUUUCCCAAUGGUGGGUGUUGGUUACUUUUUCCAGUUUAUAAACAUAAUCGGGGAUUUGGACUCAUUGGAAGAUUUCUGCUCUACCUGAUCCCUGCUUUGGCAUUUCAGCAGUUUCAAACCAGCUUAUGAUUUUAAAAUGUUGCUAAGAUAAGCUCAUUGGAAAACAGUGCAAGAUAUCAUUUAGCAUUUAAAG
Molecule: transfer RNA, 881 nt
Filed under: Marmota monax (woodchuck)
Lineage: Eukaryota; Metazoa; Chordata; Mammalia; Rodentia; Sciuridae
Source: RNAcentral